Serinus canaria (Common canary) is the source of this 798-nucleotide long non-coding RNA. RefSeq lists it as uncharacterized. The record is from RefSeq and is a predicted model, not a curated record. The transcript is spliced from 2 exons. NCBI's taxonomy places the organism in Eukaryota, Metazoa, Chordata, Aves, Passeriformes, Fringillidae.
CGCACGGUCUGGGAGUCGGGCGCUCGGCAGAGUUACACAAAUACACCCGCAACAGAACUGAGACAAAACAGCUUCUCUGCAGCAUGAUAGCAAUGCCUACCAAAGGAUUCAAAUCAGGAUGGACACUGGAGAGCACACAGAGCAAAUGGCAAACCUGUCCCAAGGAACUUCUGUAGCACUAUCUCCUUUUGAAUUACACAACUUUUACUUUCCAGUCUCAGUGGGGGCUGAAUGUCAUGGGAAUAGGGGGAGGACACCAAACCCCACAGAAAUCUCCAAGCUGAAGUCCAGCACCACCAUUCAAUGUGUGCUGCAAGAACAGAUCUAUGGGGCCACUGUGCCCUGCACCUGCCUGCAAGCACAGUCCACCAGAGAUGCUGGAUGAAUUUAGGUCUGGCAAAAGUAAUUGUGAUACAGCUUGCCUAGGGACUGGUGUGGGAUUCAGGCCUGAUUUCAGGCCCAGCAAGGAGGUGCAGGCAAUGUGGAUGUGCCCACACUGUGGUCCUUGCCCUUCUGUGCCAUUCCCUCAGGCAGCUGCAUCAGGGUGACCUCGGAGGAAGGCUGCACUCUCCAAAGAUGUUUUUUCACAGUUCAUCUUCGUUUUACUUUCCUUUACUGUAAUUCUGUAUGGUGUGGCUAAGCUGGUCACAGACAGAUAAAAUGAGACACAUUUUUUUUUCAUUUCAGCUCUUCUUCCUGAACUCCAUACAAGUUAUUUCGUAGCACAUGAGGAAAAAUGUUUAUGUACUGCCUAAAUCAGUCUUAAUGUCUAAAUAAAAUGUUAAAGGUGACAAUCUC